This 253-nucleotide ribosomal RNA is filed under the name uncultured bacterium. RNAcentral describes it as "partial 16S ribosomal RNA". It matches the Rfam family "Bacterial small subunit ribosomal RNA", at positions 524 to 776 of the family's 1533-position model. The record is from RNAcentral.
UACGUAGGGGGCAAGCGUUGUCCGGAUUUAUUGGGCGUAAAGAGCGUGUAGGCGGCUUUACAGGUCCGUUGUGAAAACUCGAGGCUCAACCUCGAGACGUCGGCGGAAACCAUCUGGCUAGAGUCCGGAAGAGGAGAGUGGAAUUCCUGGUGUAGCGGUGAAAUGCGCAGAUAUCAGGAAGAACACCCGUGGCGAAGGCGGCUCUCUGGGACGGUACUGACGCUAAGGCGCGAAAGCGUGGGGAGCGAACAGG